UACUAUAGUUAAAAUAUGGUAACCACAAAUUACCCAUGGUUUUGCUACACUUACCAUAGUUUAACCAUGUAUUUGUAGUAAAAUGUGGUUAUACAAAUGGAAAUCAGUAUGCCAAAAAAACAUGGUUACUACACUUGUACUAUAAUAAAACCAUCCCUGAAGGCUGCAGCACUCCAUUGACAGCAAAUGUUUCUCAUUGACAUCAUGUCACUUAAAAAUGCAGCAGUUUUGGAUGCCUUGUGAGUGAGAACAUGUUGAGGGUAAAGAGCCCUUGUACAAUAAAAACUACAUGAAACGAAAUAGAUGGCUAGCAUUUUCAAAUGCCAAAAAUAAUGGACUCAUUCAUCCAUCCCCUUUGAGCAGUUAAUGAGGAUACAUGAGUGAUAUCAUGAGUCCUCUGUGCCACUGAGGCAGUAUUAAGUGUCAUUGUGAGCUGUGUGGUUAGUGUCUGGCAUUCAGCUGGCGACAGAGUGAAGUUCUCACUUCCAUGGAAACUCACAACAGAGGAGGCCAGACUAGAGUAACUCAUGCUAGGAAUGACAUUAAACUGAUGCUCACAGAUGAAGUAAAUUUAACUCAACAACGGCUCCCAACAGAUAUUACUGAGCUGCAGGCCGUCGUCAAGCUCAGAGGUAAAUGAGAAGCAAGACGUCACAGAGGAAC
This is a long non-coding RNA of Cyprinus carpio (common carp), 663 nucleotides long. Lineage: Eukaryota; Metazoa; Chordata; Actinopteri; Cypriniformes; Cyprinidae. The record is from Ensembl.